GCAAGUACAACUCGUAGACACUUCAUAAAUGUCGGCCAAAGAUAUUAAAUGGGUGUUUCAAUCGAUAUGGAUAGGUUAUUAUUCUAAGUGCGCGGCAGUUUGAUUGAUGGUCCAUGAGAAGAUGGAGAAAGACCUACUCCGAAUCGGAAGACAUGAGCCCAUAAAACGUUUUCGGCAAAAUGCUCAUCAAGUAGCCAUACAAUAAAUAAUAGAACAGUCAGAAACAUUUGAUGGAGAACCAUAAAAGUGCAGCUCACCAAAAAGAAUCCGCAGACUACAGCAGCUCAUUCAAAUUGUAGCCAUGUACACAUAAAGAGCAGACAAAAGACAUAAAGUAAAUGAAGCGCCUCACGAAAUGCGGACUUCAGAUGAGUUGUGGCAACUCCCAUACGAUGUGACGAGUAUUUCCAUUCUAUUUCCAUUUUCACGUUCUCGUAACUCAGUUGCCAUUCAUGGACGAAGAUAGAGCCGCAGUCGAAAUCGAAAUCAAUUGUUACACACAAUGAAAACAUCUCCCCAACACGAUAAAUGCUUGCCACAAACACUGGGAUAUUUGCAGCAUUGUUCAUUUCAAAUGGAAUCUAUGUUCCGAAUUUGUUGAAUAAAUUAAGGGAAAUACAAAAUAAAAUUUAAAUUUAACAUAUACAUA
This is a long non-coding RNA of Drosophila ficusphila, 649 nucleotides long. RefSeq lists it as uncharacterized. Lineage: Eukaryota; Metazoa; Arthropoda; Insecta; Diptera; Drosophilidae. The record is from RefSeq and is a predicted model, not a curated record. The transcript is spliced from 2 exons.